UGGGAUUCGAUGAUAACAGAGAAUGUGAGUCACGGCAAAAUUAGUCAAAACAAAAAAAGAAACUUAACAAAAGCUCGUCACUGAAAAAUGAAUGACCCCAAUUGGAGGAAAAGAAGUAAGGAGGAAGAAAGGGGAAUAAUCACCUGAAUUGGAGAGAGAGAGAGAGAGAGAGAGAGAGAGACAGAGAGAUGGUUUUGGUGUGUUUGCAAAUUACUCACAAACACAAAGGAAAUGUGAGCUUAGGA
RNAcentral lists this long non-coding RNA (245 nucleotides) under Glycine max (soybean). RNAcentral's name for it is "long non-coding RNA (GMAX_LNC004554)". The record is from RNAcentral. Lineage: Eukaryota; Viridiplantae; Streptophyta; Magnoliopsida; Fabales; Fabaceae.